GGAGAGGUGGCUGAGUGGCUGAAAGCACAGGUUUGCUAAACCUGCGUAGGGGAAACUCUACCGGGGGUUCGAAUCCCCCCCUCUCCGCCA
RNAcentral lists this transfer RNA (90 nucleotides) under Victivallales bacterium. RNAcentral describes it as "tRNA-Ser". It matches the Rfam family "tRNA". Rfam says of the family: Transfer RNA (tRNA) molecules are approximately 80 nucleotides in length. Their secondary structure includes four short double-helical elements and three loops (D, anti-codon, and T loops). The record is from RNAcentral. Lineage: Bacteria; Pseudomonadati; Lentisphaerota; Lentisphaeria; Victivallales.